GAUGAACGCUGGCGGCGUGCCUAAUACAUGCAAGUCGAGCGAACGGACGAGAAGCUUGCUUCUCUGAUGUUAGCGGCGGACGGGUGAGUAACACGUGGAUAACCUACCUAUAAGACUGGGAUAACUUCGGGAAACCGGAGCUAAUACCGGAUAAUAUUUUGAACCGCAUGGUUCAAAAGUGAAAGACGGUCUUGCUGUCACUUAUAGAUGGAUCCGUGCUGCAUUAGCUAGUUGGUAAGGUAACGGCUUACCAAGGCAACGAUGCAUAGCCGACCUGAGAGGGUGAUCGGCCACACUGGAACUGAGCCACGGUCCAGACUCCUACGGGAGGCAGCAGUAGGGAAUCUUCCGCAAUGGGCGAAAGCCUGACGGAGCAACGCCGCGUGAGUGAUGGAGGUCUUCGGAUCGUAAAACUCUGUUAUUAGGGAAGAACAUAUGUGUAAGUAACUGUGCACAUCUUGACGGUACCUAAUCAGAAAGCCACGGCUAACUACGUG
This 497-nucleotide ribosomal RNA is filed under the name uncultured bacterium. Its description in RNAcentral is "partial 16S ribosomal RNA". It matches the Rfam family "Bacterial small subunit ribosomal RNA", at positions 28 to 507 of the family's 1533-position model. The record is from RNAcentral.